RNAcentral lists this long non-coding RNA (262 nucleotides) under Nicotiana benthamiana. RNAcentral's name for it is "long non-coding RNA (NBEN_LNC013050)". The record is from RNAcentral. Lineage: Eukaryota; Viridiplantae; Streptophyta; Magnoliopsida; Solanales; Solanaceae.
AUCAGAUAGUUGUCUACAACGUAAAUUUUGUAAUGUUGUUCUAAUAGUUUCUGCUUCAUCAGUCCAUCUACCACAAAAAUGUUCAACCAUAGUAGUAAUUAAAGAAUAAACAGCAUUUUGCUGUACUUGAGAAGUCUGAUAGGCUAAUUGCCCUUCUAUUUUAAUAACACUAGUAGUAUUCAUGAUAGUAUUCUUUUUAUCUUGAUUUAAAAAAUUAUCCCACCAACCUUUAAGUUGGCCAGUGAAACCAGCAACAAUCAUA